GACGAACGCGGCGGCGUGCUUAACACAUGCAAGUCGAACGGAGCGAAUGAAAGCUUGCUUUUAUAAGCUUAGUGGCAAACGGGUGAGUAACACGUAGGCAACCUGCCGACAGGAUGGGGACAACAUUCCGAAAGGAAUGCUAAUACCGAAUGAAGCGCAGGAGAGGUAUCUCUCCUGCGUGAAAGAUGGCCUCUAUAUAUAAGCUAUCACCUGUCGAUGGGCCUGCGUCUGAUUAGCUGGUAGGUGAGGUAACGGCUCACCUAGGCGACGAUCAGUAGCCGGUCUGAGAGGAUGAACGGCCACAUUGGGACUGAGACACGGCCCAGACUCCUACGGGAGGCAGCAGUGGGGAAUCUUCCGCAAUGGGCGCAAGCCUGACGGAGCAACGCCGCGUGAGUGAAGAAGGUCUUCGGAUCGUAAAGCUCUGUUGAUGGGGACGAACGUGCCUAAUG
This 452-nucleotide ribosomal RNA is filed under the name Centipeda noxia. Its description in RNAcentral is "bacterial SSU rRNA". It matches the Rfam family "Bacterial small subunit ribosomal RNA", at positions 28 to 460 of the family's 1533-position model. Lineage: Bacteria; Bacillati; Bacillota; Negativicutes; Selenomonadales; Selenomonadaceae. The record is from RNAcentral.